CAACAGCAGAAUCUUCUCUUUCUUUGCAGCACUUAGAGGCUGUUUCUUUCCUCGCCUGAGUUUUGCUGUCUUGGAGCACUUUUCUAGGAGAACUUGGGGGCAGGAGCCAUUUGAGCCCUACUGAGCUGGGU
Long non-coding RNA from Fukomys damarensis (Damara mole-rat), 131 nucleotides. RefSeq lists it as uncharacterized. NCBI's taxonomy places the organism in Eukaryota, Metazoa, Chordata, Mammalia, Rodentia, Bathyergidae. The transcript is spliced from 3 exons. The record is from RefSeq and is a predicted model, not a curated record.